CUGGCGGCGUGCUUAACACAUGCAAGUCGAACGCGAAAGGGACUUCGGUCCUGAGUAAAGUGGCGCACGGGUGAGUAACGCGUAGAUAACCUGUCUUCAUGUCUGGAAUAAUACGCCAAAGGGGUACUAAUACCGGAUAUUCUUGCUUUUCAUAAGUUAUGCAAGCAAAGGUGGCCUCUGCAUAUGCUACUGCAUGAAGAGGGGUCUGCGUACCAUUAGCUAGUAGGUGGGGUAAUGGCCUACCUAGGCGACGAUGGUUAGCGGGUCUGAGAGGAUGAUCCGCCACACUGGCACUGGAACACGGGCCAGACUCCUACGGGAGGCAGCAGUGAGGAAUAUUGCGCAAUGGGGGAAACCCUGACGCAGCGACGCCGCGUGAGUGAAGGAAGGCCUUCGGGUCGUAAAGCUCUGUCAAGAGGAAAGAAGUGUACAAUGGCUAAUACCUGUUGUAUUUGACGGUACCUCUAAAGGAAGCACCGGCUAACUCCGUGCCAGCCGCUGC
Molecule: ribosomal RNA, 502 nt
Filed under: uncultured bacterium
Lineage: Bacteria
Description: bacterial SSU rRNA
Rfam family: Bacterial small subunit ribosomal RNA
Source: RNAcentral